UGUGGCAGAAUAACAGUGGGAAAG
This 24-nucleotide non-coding RNA is filed under the name Rattus norvegicus (Norway rat). Lineage: Eukaryota; Metazoa; Chordata; Mammalia; Rodentia; Muridae. The record is from RNAcentral.